This is a long non-coding RNA of Mauremys reevesii (Reeves's turtle), 1789 nucleotides long. RefSeq lists it as uncharacterized. The record is from RefSeq and is a predicted model, not a curated record. Lineage: Eukaryota; Metazoa; Chordata; Testudines; Geoemydidae. The transcript is spliced from 4 exons.
AUUUAUCUCCUUUUUGUAAGAUACCUAUGGGCAUAAACCAGCUGUUGCUGUAAGGAAGGAGAAAAGAAAUUGAAAAGGCCCUGAGAAUGUGGUGCAGGAGUUGAAAGUGGGGAUUAGAAAUUUCUGAUCAGUUUGUUCUGACUUUGGCUGAAGGAAACUCUGAUGGUGGUGUUCUUUUGGAUUGUGGUUGAAGAAAACCUGUUUUACGUCAGCCUUUAAAGAUGACUCAUAAAUGGUCAUCCCUCUCCCAGCACCCAACCCAAAACAAGUCUUUAUUUUUUUACCAGUAGAAAUUCAGGACUUGCCUAGUCUAAAAGACUUCAAAGCUGUGCCUGCACUAGUCCAUUCCCCUUAUAUGCAACUGCAACAAUGGAAAAAUGCAUAUUACACUCUCACUGUUGCCCCACCAGUGCUGCUGAGUCCUUCCAUUGGUCUGACCUGGAAUUAAGACACCAGGCUUCUCAGAGGCCUGCUCCUGUGUGAUGCUGAGCUCCCACACUGAUGUCCGUGAAAGCAAAAGGUGAUAGCACCAGGCACUAGCACAUCUUGAGCAUUCAGUCUGAAAUUUUCUAUGAAUGCUCUCUGAGGCUGAGAUUUAAAAGAAUAAUUGAAGAGGCCCGAACCAUUUAUGAUCAAGACAGAGGCUAGGAACAACAGGUCUCACUGCUACUGCACCAGCUGAGGAGCAGCAAACUGGGGAAAUGGACAUGUCCACCUGCUGUCUGAUGUUCCUUCAAGAGCUGCUCUUGACAGUUAAUCCAAAAUAUUCAACCUGUUGGAAACAGCCCCAGGGUUAAAAUAUUCAAAAGUAGGCAGGUACCCUCUUAUUGGAACACACCAAGCUUCACUGGACCCACUCUUCCCCAUUGCUAUUCACUACCUAGAUACAAAGGACCAAAUUCUUCUCACUGCUGCUACAACUCAUUUGGCAUCAAUGUGGUUGCAGCAAUGUGUGUGCGUGAGAGAGAGAGUAAAAACUCAGGCUCUAAAUAUAACUUCCCAACUAAUGAAUGUAUUUUCUCCUUCUCCUCCUCUGAACUGUUUUUUCUGCGGCUUGCAUGAUCGCUUGCUAAAUAUAUUACCGUGUGCCAUUUGUCUCAGCCUACAGAUGCAAGACCCCUGCAUGGUUCAUAGGUCCACCAUUAGGGAUUUCCCUUGUACUUUGCAGAGUCACUGGCAUCUGUGCAAAGCAACUAUAGAACAUUAUCAGAUUGGAAUUCUGCAGUCUCAGUAGUGGUGUUACAUCCAUGUUACACAGGUGUAAAUGACCACAUGAGGUGCAAGGCACUGGAGAAUGGGCCCCAAGCUACUUAUCCUACAUAAAUCACUGGCUAUUUAUUGCAUUAGCAGGGCCCCUGUCAAUAACUCUUUCCCUCAGUAGAGGGAGUUGUUUCUCAAUGUAAUGAGAGAGCAUCAUCUGAUUGCAUUUUCUUUGUCAGGACUGUCUUAUUUAUUACCUUUACCUGUAAUCUAAUUUGUACUGUAUUUCCCUUGCUAUUCUAUAUUGUUAAACUUUUUAUUGAAAAGUUUGUACUGUAAAAAGGACAAGAUUUUAAUCCACAAGUGAGUUGUCCUGCUCAAGUUCCUUCUGCAUUUUUUUAACCUUUUGACCCACUGUGAAGUCUUCUAGAAAAAUGUUGAUGACCAGGUGGGAACAAAAAUAUUAGUCAAUUAAAAACUGCAAUAGCGGUGUUGCCCUGACAACACCAGAGGACCUAUGCCCAUACCAAAGUAAAUGGUAGUUUGUAUGGUGGUACUGUAUCAGAGCUCCAAUGUGCCAGACCCUGUA